CUGCCAAGGGCAUGGCUGGGUAGCUGUGUACGGAAUGGAUAAGCGCUGAAAGCAUCUAAGCGCGAAGCCAACUUCAAGAUAAGAUUUCCCACCGCAAGGGUAAGACCCCAGAAAGACUAUCUGGUUGAUAGGUCGAAGGUGUAAGUGCAGCAAUGUAUUUAGCUUAUCGAUACUAAUAGGUCGAGGACUUGACCAAU
This 197-nucleotide ribosomal RNA is filed under the name Clostridioides difficile. RNAcentral's name for it is "partial 23S ribosomal RNA". It matches the Rfam family "Bacterial large subunit ribosomal RNA", at positions 2726 to 2925 of the family's 2925-position model. Lineage: Bacteria; Bacillati; Bacillota; Clostridia; Peptostreptococcales; Peptostreptococcaceae. The record is from RNAcentral.